RNAcentral lists this ribosomal RNA (773 nucleotides) under uncultured Neocallimastigales. Its description in RNAcentral is "partial large subunit ribosomal RNA". It matches the Rfam family "Eukaryotic large subunit ribosomal RNA", at positions 24 to 633 of the family's 3401-position model. Lineage: Eukaryota; Fungi; Neocallimastigomycota; Neocallimastigomycetes; Neocallimastigales. The record is from RNAcentral.
AUGUGAUCGUCUCUCGCAUAUCAAUAAGCGGAGGAAAAGAAACUAACAAGGAUUCCCCUAGUAACGGCGAGUGAAGCGGGAAGAGCUCAAAUUUGAAAUCUUAAAGGGUUUCCCUUUACGAAUUGUAGUUUAAAGAAGUGUUUUCUGUUGAGGUUUUGGUAAAGGUUCUUUGGAAUAGGACAUCAUAGAGGGUGAGAAUCCCGUAUUUGACCUUUACUUUCAACUUUGUGAUACACUUUCAAAGAGUCGGAUUGUUUGGGAAUGCAGUCCAAAAUGGGUGGUAAAUUUCAUCUAAAGCUAAAUAUUGGCGAGAGACCGAUAGCGAACAAGUACCGUGAGGGAAAGAUGAAAAGAACUUUGAAAAGAGAGUUAAACAGUACGUGAAAUUGUCAAAAGGGAAGCGUUUGACACCAGUGUUGUUUUUCUGAAAAUCAAUUAAAGAACUGUUUAUGCUAAGUUGUUUAGACUUUAUCAGCUAACUGUUUAGUUUUGAGCUUUUCUUUAACGCACUUUUCAGUUAACAAGUCAACAUCAAUUUCUUUUGCUGUAAAAAAGCUUGAGGAAGGUGGCUUGAGAUUCGUCUUAAGUGUUUAUAGCCUCUUGCCUAUGCAGUCGGAGAGAUUGAGGUCUGCAGCGUAGAUCCUUCGGGGCUAAAUGCAUUUGUGCUAAGUUAUAGCAUUUUAUAGACAACUUGUUGACUAUGAUUUGUCUUGUAGCUUACUCGCUUAUGUUAUUUUACCUACGCUUAGGAUGUUGAAGACUCUACAGAGAUA